This 2920-nucleotide ribosomal RNA is filed under the name Durio zibethinus. RNAcentral's name for it is "eukaryotic LSU rRNA". It matches the Rfam family "Eukaryotic large subunit ribosomal RNA", at positions 299 to 3289 of the family's 3401-position model. The record is from RNAcentral. Lineage: Eukaryota; Viridiplantae; Streptophyta; Magnoliopsida; Malvales; Malvaceae.
GUAAAUUCUGUCCAUGGCUAAAUACGGGCAAAAGAACAAUAGCAAACAUGUACCGUGACGGAUAGAUGAAAAGGACUUUGGAAAGAGAGUCAAAGAGUGCUUGAAAUUGUUAGAAGAGAAGUAGAUAGGGGCUCAUGAUGCAUUUCAAUCAGAUUUGGAAUGAUGAGAGCUAGUUCAUUGAUCAGCACAGGGCAUGGAUUGACACAGGUCAUGGCAGAGUCCCAAGCCCAAGCUUUCAAUAUACGUACAAAGACAUUGUCAUUGCGAUCGUAGAAUGUAGCACACGCCAUUUUAACAUGCCUCAGCACGGUGUCCUCCCGGUGUUAGCCUACAAGCUCCCCAUCCAGCCCAUUUUGAAAUGUGAAACAAAUAGUCUAACAUGUGUGCGAGUCAAUGGGCUAGUUAACUCAUAAAGUGCAAGAAAGCUGAUUGGCAAGAUCCCUCUCAAGUGCACCAUCGACUAACCUUAAUCUUCUAAGAAGGGUUCGAGUGUGAGCAUGCCUGUUGGGACCCAAAAGAUGGUGAACUAGUCCUAAGCAAGGCAAAGCCAGAAAAACUCUGGUGGAGGCCCACAAUGAUAUUAAUGUGCAAAUAGUUCAUCUGACUUGGGUGUAGGUGUGAAAGACUAAUCGAACCAUCUAGUAGUUGGUUCCCUUUAAAGUUUCCCUCAAGAUAGCUAGAGCCCUUAGCGAGUUCUAUUAGGUAAAGCCAAUGAUUAGAGGCAUCAGUAAGGUAAUGCCCUUAACCUAUUCUCAAACUUUAAAAAGGUAGGAUGGUAUGGCUACUUCAUUGAGCAAAACUUACGAUGCGGGAUGAACAGAAAGAAUGGUUAUGAUGCUUAAUUAUGCGUUAACCUAGAACCUGCAAUGGAUGUUGUCAAUUAAGAUAGCAUAAUGGUGGUCAUAGAAGUCAAAAUUCGCUAAAAAGUGUAUAAUAAUUCACUUGCCGAAUCAACUAGCCUAAAAAAUGGAUGGCACAUAAGUGUGCAACCUAUACCAACUAUCGGGGCAAGGGCUAGGCCUUAAUGAGUAGGAGGGCACAAUGGUUUCCAUAAAACUCAGGGCACAAGCCCGAGCAAAGUGGCCAUCAAUGUAGAUCUUGGUGGUAGUAGCAAAUAUUCAAAUGAAAACUUUGAAGGUCGAAGAAAGGAAAGGUUCCAUGUGAAUGGCAAUUGCACAUGGGUUACUUGAACUUAAGAAACGGGGGAAACCCGUUUGACAGUGCAUUCAACUUAAGCUUCAAAAGAGAAUCAGGUUAAAAUUCUUGAAUUGGAUCAUGAUAGUUUAUAACAAUGUUAGAGAGUCUAGAAACGUUGGUGGAAGCCUCAAGAAGAGUUAUCUUUUCUGUUCAAUGGCCUACCCACCCCAGAAAUGGCACAGCCAGAGGUAGGGUCCAGUGGUCUAAAAAGUAUCGUACAUCACAUGGUGUCUAGUGUGCCUCUAGUGGCCCUUGAAAAUCUAGAGGAUCGAGUGCCAUCUAUACUCAAUCAUACUUAUAAUCACAUCAGGCCUCUAAAGUGAAUAGCCUCUGGUCGAUAGAAUAAUAUAGGUAAGGGAAGUCGACAAAAUGGAUCCAUAACCUCAGGAAAAAGAUUAGCUCCGAGGGCUGGGUAUGAGGGGCCCAGUCUUAAAUUUGUUGAUUGCCAGUGCUCUACUCGAGCUACUCCCAUGGCAAAAGUAAGUUGUCACGUGCUGGUUAAGAGAUGGAUAGGGAAUGGCUCUUUUGAGAGCCUUUCUCAAGUAAUGAACAGUCAACUCAGAACUAGUACGAACAAGGGGAAUUUGACUAUUUAAUUAAAAUAAAGCAUUGUGAUGGUCUUUGUGGAUGCUCACACAAUGUGAUUUCUGUCCAAUGUUCUAAAUGUCAAAGUGAAGAAAUUUAGCUAAGCAUGAGUAAAUGACAGGGGUAACUACGACUCUCUUAAGGUAGCCAAAUGCCUCAUCAUUUAAUUAGUGAUGUGCAUGAAUAAAUUAAUGAGAUUCCUACUGUCCCUAUCUACUAUCUAGCAAAACCACAGCCAAUGGAAUGGGCUUCGUUGAAUCAGUGGGAAAAAAAGACCCUGUUGAGCUUGACUCUAGUAUGACUUUGUGAAAUGACUUGAAAGGUGUAGGAUAAGUGGGAGCCCUCGGGUGAAAUUGAAAUACCACUACUUUUAACAUUAUUUUACUUAUUCUGUGAAUCAAAGGCAGGGCACAACCCUUUCUUUUAGACUCAAAGUCAACCUUGAUCAGUUGAUCUAAGUGGAAGACAUUGUCAGUUAGGCUGGGGUGACACAUUUGUUAAAAGAUAAUACAAAUGUCCUAAGAUGAGCUUAAUGAGAAUAAAAAUCUUGUAUGGAAUAAAAGGUUAAAAGCUCGUUUGAUUCUGAUUUUUGAUACGAAUAUGAACCAUAAAAGCAUGGCCUAUCGAUCCUUUAGGCCUUCAAAAAUUGAAGCUAAAGGUGUUAGAAAAGUUACCACAAGGAUAUCUGGCUUAUGGUAGCCAAGCGUUCAUAGCAAUAUUGCUUUUUAAUCAUUCAAUGUUGGCUUUUCCUAUCAUUGUGAAGCAGAAUUCACCAAGUGUUGGAUUGUUCACCCAUCAAUAGGGAACAUAAGCUGGGUUUAGACUAUCAUGAGACAGGUUAGUUUUACUCGACUGAUGGCAGCAUCGCAAUAGUAAUUUAACCUAGUACGAGAGGAAUUGUUGAUUCGCAUAAUUGGUCAUCACGCUUGGUUGAAAAACCAAUGGUGCGAAGUUACCAUAUGCUAGAUUAUGACUAAACACCUCUAAGUCAAAAUCAGGGCUAAAAGUAAUGCACUCGUUCGACUCUCGAUUGUCGACCUGUAGGUAAGGCCUAUGGCCCCUAAAGGCACGUGUCGUAAGUGCAAUCCCAGUGGCAGAUAAGCUGUGUGGGCCUUCAUAAAGCUUAAUUCUCACCAAG